CUGGCGGCGUGCUUAACACAUGCAAGUCGAACGCGAAAGGGACUUCGGUCCUGAGUAAAGUGGCGGCACGGGUGAGUAACGCGUAGAUAACCUGUCUUCAUGUCUGGAAUAAUACGCCGAAAGGGGUACUAAUACCGGAUAUUCUUGCUUUUCAUAAGUUAUGCAAGCAAAGGUGGCCUCUGCAUAUGCUACUGCAUGAAGAGGGGUCUGCGUACCAUUAGCUAGUAGGUGGGGUAAUGGCCUACCUAGGCGACGAUGGUUAGCGGGUCUGAGAGGAUGAUCCGCCACACUGGCACUGGAACACGGGCCAGACUCCUACGGGAGGCAGCAGUGAGGAAUAUUGCGCAAUGGGGGAAACCCUGACGCAGCGACGCCGCGUGAGUGAGGAAGGCCUUCGGGUCGUAAAGCUCUGUCAAGAGGAAAGAAGUGUACAAUGGCUAAUACCUGUUGUAUUUGACGGUACCUCUAAAGGAAGCACCGGCUAACUCCGUGCCAGCCGCGGC
RNAcentral lists this ribosomal RNA (503 nucleotides) under uncultured bacterium. RNAcentral's name for it is "bacterial SSU rRNA". It matches the Rfam family "Bacterial small subunit ribosomal RNA", at positions 36 to 518 of the family's 1533-position model. The record is from RNAcentral.